RNAcentral lists this ribosomal RNA (460 nucleotides) under uncultured bacterium. RNAcentral's name for it is "partial 16S ribosomal RNA". It matches the Rfam family "Bacterial small subunit ribosomal RNA", at positions 338 to 795 of the family's 1533-position model. The record is from RNAcentral.
CCUACGGGUGGCAGCAGUGAGGAAUAUUGGUCAAUGGACGAGAGUCUGAACCAGCCAAGUAGCGUGAAGGAUGACUGCCCUAUGGGUUGUAAACUUCUUUUAUAAAGGAAUAAAACGAGGCACGUGUGCCUUUUUGCAUGUACUUUAUGAAUAAGGAUCGGCUAACUCCGUGCCAGCAGCCGCCGUAAUACGGAGGAUACGAGCGUUAUCCGGAUUUCUUGGGUUUAAAGGGAGCGUAGAUGGGUUGUUAAGUCAGUUGUGAAAGUUUGCGGCUCAACCGUAAAAUUGCAAUUGAUACUGGCAGUCUUGAGUACAGUUGAAGUAGGCGGAAUGCGUGGUGUAGCGGUGAAAUGCUUAGAUAUCACGAAGAACUCCGAUUGCGAAGGCAGCUUACUAAACUGCCACUGACAUUGAGGCACGAAAGUGUGGGGAUCAAACAGGAUUAGAUACCCGUGUAGUC